This is an RNA transcript of Fundulus heteroclitus (mummichog), 3843 nucleotides long. It is a transcript of the gene named coxsackievirus and adenovirus receptor homolog, with no coding region annotated. The transcript is spliced from 4 exons. NCBI's taxonomy places the organism in Eukaryota, Metazoa, Chordata, Actinopteri, Cyprinodontiformes, Fundulidae. The record is from RefSeq and is a predicted model, not a curated record.
CUUAUUUUGUAAGGUUGGACUUCCAGGAGCAGGAAGUCUCUAACAGGUUUUUCUGCAGCUGUUGAAACACGUCUGAUCACAUAAAGGCGACUGCUGCUCCUCUCCACAUGGCUGCUUCAACGCUGCUGCAGCUGCUGGUUCUGGUUCUGGUAUCAGGAUGUUCUUCUGGGUCGGACAUUCCUGGCCAGAGAACCAUCACAGCAACACUUGGAGAGAACAUCGUUCUGCCAUGUCGAGCUGCAGACAGCAAACCUGUCACAGUUAUAGACUGGACCAGGCAGGAUCUGGGGUUAGAGAGGGUCUUUCUUUUUCGAGAUAAAAAGACUGACCUGGUUAACCAGCAUGAACAGUUUAAGAACCGGGUGGAACUGCAAGACAGGGAGAUGAAGAAUGGAGACGUGUCCUUGGUUCUGAAGAGCGUGACGGCUGCUGACAGAGGGACAUAUGAGUCUAGAGUUGUUCAGCCUGGAGUAAUAAAGCCUGGUCCCACAAUCUGCAUCAUCAACCUGGACGUUGUUAAAUCACGGAGCAGAAUUCUCCCGGGAAACAAAGAAGAUGAUCUGGGAAAUGGAGGAAAUGAAGCUGGAUCUCCUGGACUACUGAUUGGGCUGACAGUUAUUCUUCAUCUGAGUGUCAGAUUUUGGUUUUGUGAUUUUUGAAAUCAUUCAUAAAGACAAAGGUUUGCCUCCUGCUAAAUAAUCAUCUAUGUUUAUUUUUUCAUAAUUAGCCUUAGUCAGACUUUCCUGAUGUUAAAGGAAGAAACAAAUGGUAAAAUCUCUUGAAGUAAAUCAGGUUAAGAGUUCAAAUUAAUUUUCUGGACUCCAGGAACACUUUUUAUCCAAAUGGUCAUCUUUUGUGAGAGGAUUUAAAUUGUUAAAUAGAUUUGGGUUGAAGGUUAAGCAGGAUUUUAGGGGCUUUAGAUGUUUUUUCAAAGCAUAUCACAUAUUAUCAAUAUGUUACAUCACUCUCCUCGUUCCAACUGCACAUCCACACACGAGUAGCAGCUAGCACUCCAUAAAAGACCGUUGGUAAUAGCAACAAUGCUUUCUUCUAACCUUACUUAGUCUCGCUUUGAUGUGGUCUCAAUAUUGUUGGUUCCCAUUGCUCAGCAGCUUUGGUCUGGUCUGGCAGUGUAGCAUUAAGAAUUGUCUCAAUGCCAAAAAGAGCCCAACAGAUUUUAUCUUAACAAGUGGAGCCUUAGUGCUUAAACCAUAGUGCUCAUAGUGCUCCACUUGAUUUAUAUAUACAAGAAGCUUUAUUAGAGUUUAUGCUGAGACUAUUUCAUGUUUAAUAGACAUAGAAACAGGAAGACAGAAGAGGAAAAAAGGAGAGACAAAGAUGAGACAAAAUGCCAAAAGGGAGAAAAGGUGAAAGAGGAGAGGAAAGGGGGAGAGCGAUAUAACACCCUCUGAGUCUCCUUCUACAGCUGUAAAGAGAGAUAUAAGAACAGCAGAACCAGGUAAUGAAGUAUUACAGGUACAAACAAGCAACACCUUGAUACCAUCACUGAAGAAUAUACAGUAUUAGUUAAUGCAACGUAUUUAGUGACAGCUGAAGAUAAUAACAGGAGUUUUCUACAUGGAAGUGAAUCUAUAAAUACAUGAAUGUAUGCAGCUGUAGGUGCUUGUGAGAGUGCUCUAGAAUCUAUAGUUUAUCCAUGAGAGAAUAUAUUAGUCUGGUAUCUAUGGACCGUCUUUAAGCCAUUUAAAGUUAUUGUCAGCUCAAAGAUGCUCAGUAGUUUUUUUUCUUACAGUUCAGUGCAGUGUGCUGGACAACAACCAUAGGUCUCUGUAAAAAAACUAAAAUCUUCAGGUGCAAAUAAAGUCACAGUGAAAUGAAAGCAUUUCUUACUGAAUUUUACCAGCAGUAAGUUAUAGACUUGUUCAUCUGCAGUCUUUCAGGUCGGUGAUCUGGGUGUUUUCAUGCCAACAGACCGUGGGCAGAAUUCCCCUUGUUGUUCUGCACCUACCUCCUUAAAUGUACAUACCUGCAGGGUAGUUUAACCUGCUGUGUCAGAUACAGACAUGUUUGCUCUUGAUUUAGGGCUUACAGCCACUCAGUGUUUUACACUUCAAUACUUUUCUUCCUUUUUAGGACUACCUGAGAAUUCAUCUAAUGAUUAAAAUAACAUUAGAAAAGCUUGUUUAGAUUAGGCUCUGAAUAGCUGAUUGUGACAGAAAAAGGUUUACAUGAACUGAGUGAAGUUUAUCAAAAAUCUACCUGCUUUCUGCGAAAGAUCAUAUUUUACAUUUUUAAUUAAACCCAUCAUCCUGUAUCUGAUACAUCUGCAGAAAGUCACUUUGUUCUGCUCUGCUACUCUAAAACAUGCUAAGGGUUAUAAUCUGUAAAUGUUCGGUCUGAAGAGAAGAACUUUAGUCUUUAGUAGACUGAGUGGUAAUGCCAGCCUUGAGAUGUUUUAAGAUGAUAGAGCUAGCAUAGACAUUAUAUAGAUAAACUGGCGCUGCCUACUGGAGAUGACGUUUCAGUGCGGCCGCCAUCUUGGAUGGGUCUCUCAUGCACCCCUAGUGCAUUUCUUUGUACUGAGGAAGCUGUUGGUCCAACUAAACUAAAUUAUGACUACCUGAAUUUUUACCCGAUUUUCCCACAAAAUAUACUAAAUAACAGCUGACCUGACACUUGUACAUAUCUACAUUCUGCUGGAUAAAGUUGUUUAAAAUAACAAAAGUGAGAAACAAGGCUGGAUCAGAACACAUAUUUGUGUCACAUCCUUCUUCGAAAUAACAACUAUUGUUAUUAGUUUUUCUAUCCUCUUUCAGCAUUUCAGUCCUACCGUGGCCUACAUGUACCAGGGCAGCUUUUAGAGCGUGCUAUGUGCUGUUUAUUUGCACAAAAUACCGCCUAGAACAGUGUUAAUGUCAUUAUUGUUCAUCAACAACAGUGCCAGCUUCCAGGUUUUUUCUACUGUCCAAUAAAAGGAAAACUGGAAAGCAACAAGGCAGAGAUGACGUACUCUGCAACUCGUUAGUUCUGACCUCCGAGGCAAAAGAAACGCACCGUUAGUCUGACUUUGCUCUCUAAAAGUCUGAGAAUUUAAGACUGUUGGGUCUAAAAUGGCAGCUUGACCUAAAAUCAAUGUUACAUGUAGCGGCUGCACCUCUGAACCGAACAAAUUAAAAGUGGUGUUUGCAUUUGGAAAGUCCAGCUUUAAAGCACAUUUAGAGGUACUAUGAAGAAAACAGCAGCUUUCCUGGCCUAACCUUCUUUUCUCUGUGUUUACUGGAACGCUGUUCACUCUGGUUUACCGCGUUCUCAUCCUGAGCGUACGGUGGACUGGAUGGGUCAAAAAGGAGAGGCCAGGUGAAUGCUGGGUAAAGAGAGCAUUAAUGAGACUAGACACUACAACACUGAUCACUGAUCAUUACACAUGUUGCAUUAAAUAACUUGGAUUUCUGUAGAGAAAAACAUUUGGGCAAUUUUUACAGAAUUCAAGUCAUUUCCUUUAAAUCUCAUUUUAAUGCCACAUAUGUCGCCCCCUGCUGGUAAAAAGGAUCCAAAGACUGUCACAGUAUUAACUAGAAAUGAGUACAAAAUGCAUUUUUUUAUAAAUGUUUGUUUAUUUUUGUAAAUUUGUUUCCAUUUUCUUAACGUUUAUAAACAUAAAGAUGCUGACGGGUUCACUGUAAAGGACAACCUACAGAUGUUUACUACAUGUACUGUAUGUUAGCAUUCCUCUCAUAGUGGUACAGAACACUUUAGUCCUUUAUAGAGCAAUAAUCUGAAUGUUUCCAGCUCCAUAAAACUUUUGAAUAUGUAGUUUUCUAUGUAUUUUUGUUGUGUUAACUGAUGGUGAAUAUUUUCUCAUAAUAAAAGUAAGAAGCUGAC